GAUGAACGCUAGCGGAGGCUUAACACAUGCAAGUCGAGGGGCAGCACUGAUAGCAAUAUUAGGCGGCGACCGGCGGACGGGUGAGUAACGCGUAUGCAACCUACCCUUUACAGGGGGAUAGCCCGGAGAAAUUCGGAUUAAUACCCCAUAGAUCAGUGAUUCUGCAUGGGAUUACUGGUAAAGCUUCGGCGGUAAAGGAUGGGCAUGCGUCCCAUUAGCUAGUUGGUAGGGUAACGGCCUACCAAGGCAACGAUGGGUACGGGGUCUUAAAGGAUGGACCCGCACACUGGCACUGAGACACGGGCCAGACUCCUACGGGAGGCAGCAGUGAGGAAUAUUGGUCAAUGGGGGGAACCCUGAACCAGCCAUCCCGCGUGCAGGAAGACAGUUCUAUGGAUUGUAAACUGCUUUUCUUGGGGAAGAAUAAUGACGACGUGUCGUCAGAUGACGGUACCCGAGGAAUAAGCAUCGGCUAACUCCGUG
This 483-nucleotide ribosomal RNA is filed under the name uncultured bacterium. Its description in RNAcentral is "bacterial SSU rRNA". It matches the Rfam family "Bacterial small subunit ribosomal RNA", at positions 28 to 507 of the family's 1533-position model. The record is from RNAcentral.